Molecule: long non-coding RNA, 486 nt
Filed under: Triticum aestivum (bread wheat)
Lineage: Eukaryota; Viridiplantae; Streptophyta; Magnoliopsida; Poales; Poaceae
Description: long non-coding RNA (TAES_LNC001067)
Source: RNAcentral
UUGUCUAUUAAAAGUGUUCCUUUAUCCUUAUCAGUGUGCCAGCUCAUACACCGUACCGAGCCCGUCUCUGUUGUACUUCGUAAGAAUGAGCUAUAUACUGACUACCUCUUGACCUUGUGUUGGCAUAGCAGAGUACUCAUGGAUGGGCAAGAACACACCUCUAAUAAGAUGUUUGAUGCAGCAGUAGUGUUUUUUUUUUAAGUCUGCAAAAAUGUGCAUCUUCUCAUAAAGCCUCCGCAACUUCUUGCAGGCCGGGUACUGGUAUAUGGAACUCGGAUGUCAGGUUAGAUAUCAUAAGCGUUGCAAUGCCUUCCAACAAUAAUGAUGGUGUUCCACGUCUCCAAGUCCGACCAGGGAGGCGCCGCUCGAGUCGAAUACCUAGGAAACUGUAAACCCUGUCCGCCAUUUGUGCGGAUCCCAGGCUUGUAAAUGUGGAAAAUUUGGCUGAAUUAUUGACUCCCGGUUGGUUAAAACAGAACCAGAGUC